GGGGACAAGAAAAAAUGGACUUUUUUCUCCUGCCAUGGGGGGGCGCUCUUUUGGGGAGUAAAAAUUCCUUCACAAAUGUGUUGAUGGCUGGACAUUGCAUCAUCCUAGAAAACUUGGAGGCCAGUGAGGGCAAAAAUAAAAAGUUAUAAGACUUCUAAAUAUGUGGAUCUUAGGGUUAUCUUUGGCGCCCCCUAGAACCUAAACCGUGGGGUGCAGCGUCAUGAUUUGAAUAACUUUUAAUGGCCAUGGGGUGUAGAUUGGCCUGAGCAAAUGUGGUGCCGGUGUAACGAAAGCCUUCGGAGGAGUUAGCGAAAUUCCAAUGUGUGCAGAUCGGCAAAAAAUGCGAAAUAACCCUUUAACCGUACAUUUGACAGAUACGCCCGCACUGACUUUUUUGUAGAUCUUAUUGAGAUACAUGUGUGUGUCAAUUUUUGUGUCAUUUUGACAAAGCGUACAGGCGUGACAGUCAAUAGUGUGAAUUUUCACCUUAGGGGGCGCUAUGGAGCCAUUUUGCAUUUUCUUGUUUGGGCGACUUCGGAAUAUCAAAUUUUUCACCAGGCCCGGUCGUCCUGCCAAAUUUCAUGAGUUUUCGCCAGUGGGAAGUGGGCCAUUUUCCAGUUCAAAGGGGAGGAAAAAUAAUAACUAGGGCCCCGUUGGGGCACUGGCGGGCCCGAGCCGUGUCGCGCCCCCUCCCCCCCCCAACGCGCUGCCUCCCCAUCCCAUUCGCGUCCUCUGGCCAUCGCCCUCUCUGGUAACGCCCAUCACUGCAAAUACCCUUUUCCUUCAUCGGCGUUUGCUGUUCUUCCUGCCAGUGCGUGUUGCUUUCACUUACACUUGCCACAGCCAGCCUCGUGAGUGCCUAGCCUAUUGGAUAUCACUGUCAUCUACACAGGACAGUCAUUACCUUUCUAUUAAUACUUUGUUUUUUAAUUUCACAUUAAUUUCCAUAUUGUAUAAAGGACUGGAAAAGACUUGAGCCCCUGCCCCUGUAUAAUCAUGUGCACGUCCCUGUUCUGGCUCUAAGGUGAAUCUUCACUGCUCAUGUUCUUCUCAGAAGCAGUCACCUCACUCCCCUCAGGUUACUGUACACACGCAGCAACUGCAUGCUUCAGGUUUAGAUAGCGCUUCAUGGUUGUCUUUUGGAGAAAUGACCAGCCAAUUUGCGUUUGACAUUUGAUUUUUUUCAGGGGCAAAAGGAAGCCUCUGCAUUCUUGUCUAAUAUGUAAAUAGCAUGUUUUUGCAGGUACUAAAAAACAGACUCUGUGUGUGUGUGUGUGUGUGUGUGUGUGUGUGUGUGUGUGUGUGUGUGUGUGUGUGUGUGUGUGUCUGUGUCUGUGUGUGUGUAUCCUAAACACUAAACACUUCCACUACACAAUUAACCCUUUCACGUAUAACGGUCACUACAGUGGACAAAUCUUCACUGGAUAUUUUCUAUUAUAAAAAUAGGGGUUUGAUUUUACAAAAACAUGUUAGCAACAACAAUAGACCCUGGAAAAUGAGUCCAACACUGGCACCCUGUGGCCAUGUGAUGCAACUGCAGAAAACACACGUCAACAUUUAAGGUGGCUGCCUCUGCUGAAAAAAACAAAUGUAUGAUGUCACUAAAAAUCAUUGUCACUAAAAAGGAUUAUAUUAUUACACACAUGCACACUCUUUGAUGAUCUGUGAAGCAGCUCUGAAGAGACAGUAGGAGCAGCAGAACAAAGUGUAUUUGUAGAAAAGCCGUAAGAGCUGUUGAAACGCCGUUUUUUCAGGUUGAAAGGUUCACGUCUCCACCAAAGGUCAGAGGUCAAAUAACAUUUGAAUGUCAAACUGUGACGUCACAGUCGAGGUCCAAAGAUAGUGUGCACACCUGUCUUUGGUCAUUUCCCAUUAUAAUGAAUGGGAGGCGCAGUUUCUACCGAAACGCUGGCUGCAGACAAACUACAUGUCCUAUUUGAAAAAAGUCUGGACCAUGAGUGAGGGCACAAACACAGCUAGGAAAUAUCCAAAUGGCAAAUUGCUUCUCCUUUCGCUUUUGCCGAGAGAGCAGUGCGUUUGAGCCUUUGAACGAUGAACAGGAAAAACUUGACUUUAUUGUCCUGCCAUGGGGGGGGUGCUCUUUUAACGAGAAAAAACUCCUUCACAAAUGUGUUGAUGGCUGGACAUCGCAUCAUCCUAGAAAACAUGGAGGCCAGUGAGGACAAAAAUAAAAUGUUAUAACACUUUUAAGAAUGUGGAUAUUUGGGUCAUCUUUGGCGCCCCCUAGAACGUAAACCGUGGGGUGCAGCGUCAUGAUUUUUACAACUUUGAAUGGCCAUGGGGUGUAGAUUGGCCUGAGAAAAUUUGGUGUCAGUAGGACGAAAGCCUUAGGAGGAGUUAGCUACAUUCAAAUGUGUGCCAAUCGGCAAAAAAUGCGAAAUAGCCCUUUAACCGUACAUUUUACAGAUAUGUGUGCAUUGACUCUUUCGUAGAUCUUAUUGAGAUACACUUGAUUGUCAAAUUUUGUGUCAAUAUGACAAAGCGUAUAGGCGUGACACUCAACAAUGUGUAUUUUCACCUUAUGGGACAAGAAAAAAUUGACUUUUUUCUCCUGCCAUGGGGGGGGGCGCUCUUUUGGGGAGUAAAAAUUCCUUCACAAAUGUGUUGAUGGCUGGACAUUGCAUCAUCCUAGAAAACUUGGAGGCCAGUGAGGACAAAAAUAAAAAGUUAUAAGACUUUUAAGAAUGUGGAUUUUUGGGUUAUCUUUGGCGCCCCCUAGAACGUAAACCGUGGGGUGCAGCGUCAUGAUUUGUACAACUUUUAAUGGCCAUGGGGUGUAGAUUGGCCUGAGCAAAUUUGGUGCCAGUGGAACGAAAGCCUUCGGAGGAGUUAGCGAAAUUCCAAUGUGUGCGGAUCGGCAAAAAAUGCGAAAUAGCCCUUUAACCGUACAUUUGACAGAUACGCGCUCUCUGACUUUUUCGUAGAUCUAAUUGAGAUACACGUGUGUGUCAAAUUUUGUGUCAAUAUGACAAAGCGUUCAGGCGUGACACUCAACAAUGUGUAUUUUCACCUUAGGGGACAAGAAAAAAUGGACUUUUUUCUCCUGCCAUGGGGGGGCGCUCUUUUCGGGAGUAAAAAUUUCUUCACAAAUGUGUUGAUGGCUGGACAUUGCAUCAUCCUAGAAAACUUGGAGGCCAGUGAGGACAAAAAUAAAAAGUUAUAAGACUUUUAAGACUGUGGAUUUUUGGGUUAUCUUUGGCGCCCCCUAGAAUGUAAACCGUGGGGUGCAGCGUCAUGAUUUGUACAACUUUUAAUGGCCAUGGGGUGUAGAUUGUCCUGAGCAAAUUUGUUGCCGGUGGAACGAAAGCCUUCGGAGGAGUUAGCGAAAUUCCAAUGUGUGCGGAUCGGCAAAAAAUGCGAAAUAGCCCUUUAACGGUACAUUUGACAGAUACGCCCGCACUGACUUUUUUGUAGAUCUUAUUGAGAUACACAUGUGUGUCAAAUUUUGUGUCAUUUUGACAAAGCGUACAGGCGUCAGGUGAGUUUUCACCAUAGGGGGCGCUAUGGAGCCAUUUUUCAUUUUUUUGUUUGGGCGACUUCAGAAUAUCGAAUUUUUCACCAGGCCCGGUCGUCCUGCCAAAUUUCCUGAGUUUUCGCCAGUGGGAAGUGGGCCAUUUUCCAGUUUAAAGCGGAGGAAAAAUAACGAAAGAAGAAUCCAUCAGGAACAAGAGGGCUCUCGCAGCUGCUUAGCAGCUACGCUCGGGCCCUAAUAACAAACUAGGACCCCGUUGGGGCACUGGCGGGCCCGAGCCGUGUCGCGUCCCCCCCCCCAACGUGCUGCCUCCCCGUCCCAUUUGUGUCCUCUGGCCAUCGUCCUCUCUGGUAACGCCCAUCACUGCAAAGACCCUUUUCCUUCAUCGGCGUUUGCUGUUCUUCCUGCCAGUGCGUGUUGCUUUCACUUACACUUGCCACAGCCAGCCUCGUGAGUGCCUAGCCUAUUGGAUAUCACUGUCACCUACACAGGACAGUCAUUACCUUUCUAUUAAUACUUUGUGUUUUAAUUUCACAUUAAUUUCCAUAUUGUAUAAACGACUGGAAAAAACUUGAGCCCCUGCCCCUGUAUAAUCAUGUGCAUGUCUCUGUUCUAGCUCCAAGGUGAAUCUUCACUGCUCAUGUUCUCCUCAGAAGCAGUCACCUCACUCCCCUCAGGUUACUGUACACAUGCACCAACUGCCUGCUUCAGGUUUGGAUGGAGCUUCAUGGUUGUCUUUUGGAGAAAUGAGCAGUCAAGUUGUGUUUGAAAUUUGAUUUUUUUCAGGGGCAAAAGGAGCCUCUGCAUUCUUGUCAAAUAUGUAAAUAGCAUGUUUUUGCAGGUGCUAAAAACCAGACUCUGAGUGUGUGUGUGUGUGUGUGUGUGUGCGUGUGUGUGUGUCUGUGUGUGUGUGUGUGCGUUCAAGUCACAUGACAUAUUUAACCGGAUGUAGCUGCAAGACGGAGCCUCGUUGACUCUCUGUUUCAACUUAUCUCAAAAGUGAGGACCUCAACCUAUAUACCAGUUUUUAAAUUGUGUUGAUAGGCCAAAUAAAACCAGAGUUAUGAUAAAUUAUGUCCGCGAUACUUUUUUUCUGCUUAUUUUGAUCACGUUCGGCGCUCGAUCGCGCUGUAUGAGACAGGAAAACAUAGCAUGCAGACAUUAGCGACAGGUCUUACAGGCGGAAAAGGCUUGCCAAAAGAAAAAAAAAACACACCACAACAUCUCUCCUAUUGGUGGAAAACUUCACCACAACAACCAAUCCAAAAUUAUAUGGUGACUGAUUGACAAAGGGCGGGCGCUUACGUUCUUCCUGCAACAUGAGAAGGGAGGGAGGGACUCUCAGCAGGGAUGCAGUCUGGGACACGUAGUUGCAAACCUAGCGACUUUGUUGUUAGAUUCAAUGACUUUUCAGACCCCCUAACGACUUUUUUUUAGAAAGAAAGGGACUUUUAUCGACUUCUUCUGGAGUUUAGAGACUCUGACAUGAAGCAGGCUUUCCUUACUGAGGAGUUAGCAACGCUGCUAAGGGUGCAGAGCCACACAUGCACUCAGAGCUCUGCAUGGGAGACUGAAGCUGACAGAGCUGCAGCAGUUAGCAGGUUUCACCCUCAGAGACCACCAGGGGUUCAUGUUGAGGCAUUUUAAUUUUUUUUUUUUUUUUGUGCCAUAGACACUGUCAGCACAAUCUGCAGUUACACUAACAAAAAUGCUGCAAAAAAUAAAGAAUUAUGGAAAAAUUACACAUGGACUGACAUAGAGGAGGAUCUACACAAGUUUUUUACAUCAUGUUUUACAUCAUGCAUCAUUUACAUCAUGUUUUUUUGUAGUGGCAUAAAUAAAAAGUGACAUUUGUGAGACUAUACAGUGUUUUGUAAAUAAUUUUACAAAGAACGCCUGGGCCAUUGCCUGCAUUUUGAUGUAAAUAGAGGUAAAUUACUAUGU
This 5437-nucleotide long non-coding RNA is filed under the name Xyrichtys novacula (pearly razorfish). Lineage: Eukaryota; Metazoa; Chordata; Actinopteri; Labriformes; Labridae. The record is from RNAcentral.